RNAcentral lists this ribosomal RNA (459 nucleotides) under uncultured bacterium. RNAcentral's name for it is "partial 16S ribosomal RNA". It matches the Rfam family "Bacterial small subunit ribosomal RNA", at positions 338 to 795 of the family's 1533-position model. The record is from RNAcentral.
CCUACGGGCGGCUGCAGUGAGGAAUAUUGGUCAAUGGGCGGGAGCCUGAACCAGCCAAGCCGCGUGAGGGAGGAAGGUACUGUGUGUUGUAAACCUCUUUUGUCAGGGAACAAAGGCGGGGACGUGUCCCGGGCUGCGUGUAUCCGAAGAAAAAGCAUCGGCUAACUCCGUGCCAGCAGCCGCGGUAAUACGGAGGAUGCGAGCGUUAUCCGGAUUUAUUGGGUUUAAAGGGUGCGCAGGCGGUCAGUUAAGUCAGCGGUAAAAUGGCGGGGCUCAACCCCGGCCCGCCGUUGAAACUGGCAGUCUCGAGUUGGAGAGAAGUAUGCGGAAUGCGCGGUGUAGCGGUGAAAUGCAUAGAUAUCGCGCAGAACUCCGAUUGCGAAGGCAGCGUACCGGCGCCACACUGACGCUGAGGCACGAAAGCGUGGGUAUCGAACAGGAUUAGAUACCCUUGUAGUC